GCCUAAUACAUGCAAGUCGAACGAGUUCUGAUUAUUGAAAGGUGCUUGCAUCUUGAUUUAAUUUUGAACGAGUGGCGGACGGGUGAGUAACACGUGGGUAACCUGCCCUUAAGUGGGGGAUAACAUUUGGAAACAGAUGCUAAUACCGCAUAAAUCCAAAAACCGCAUGGUUCUUGGCUGAAAGAUGGCGUAAGCUAUCGCUUUUGGAUGGACCCGCGGCGUAUUAGCUAGUUGGUGAGGUAACGGCUCACCAAGGCAAUGAUACGUAGCCGAACUGAGAGGUUGAUCGGCCACAUUGGGACUGAGACACGGCCCAAACUCCUACGGGAGGCAGCAGUAGGGAAUCUUCCACAAUGGACGCAAGUCUGAUGGAGCAACGCCGCGUGAGUGAAGAAGGCUUUCGGGUCGUAAAACUCUGUUGUUGGAGAAGAAUGGUCGGCAGAGUAACUGUUGUCGGCGUGACGGUAUCCAACCAGAAAGCCACGGCUAACUACGUGCCAGCAGCCGCGGUAAUACGUAGGUGGCAAGCGUUAUCCGGAUUUAUUGGGCGUAAAGCGAGCGCAGGCGGUUUUUUAAGUCUGAUGUGAAAGCCCUCGGCUUAACCGAGGAAGUGCAUCGGAAACUGGGAAACUUGAGUGCAGAAGAGGACAGUGGAACUCCAUGUGUAGCGGUGAAAUGCGUAGAUAUAUGGAAGAACACCAGUGGCGAAGGCGGCUGUCUGGUCUGUAACUGACGCUGAGGCUCGAAAGCAUGGGUAGCGAACAGGAUUAGAUACCCUGGUAGUCCAUGCCGUAAACGAUGAAUGCUAGGUGUUGGAGGGUUUCCGCCCUUCAGUGCCGCAGCUAACGCAUUAAGCAUUCCGCCUGGGGAGUACGACCGCAAGGUUGAAACUCAAAGGAAUUGACGGGGGCCCGCACAAGCGGUGGAGCAUGUGGUUUAAUUCGAAGCAACGCGAAGAACCUUACCAGGUCUUGACAUCUUUUGAUCACCUGAGAGAUCAGGUUUCCCCUUCGGGGGCAAAAUGACAGGUGGUGCAUGGUUGUCGUCAGCUCGUGUCGUGAGAUGUUGGGUUAAGUCCCGCAACGAGCGCAACCCUUAUGACUAGUUGCCAGCAUUUAGUUGGGCACUCUAGUAAGACUGCCGGUGACAAACCGGAGGAAGGUGGGGAUGACGUCAAAUCAUCAUGCCCCUUAUGACCUGGGCUACACACGUGCUACAAUGGAUGGUACAACGAGUUGCGAGACCGCGAGGUCAAGCUAAUCUCUUAAAGCCAUUCUCAGUUCGGACUGUAGGCUGCAACUCGCCUACACGAAGUCGGAAUCGCUAGUAAUCGCGGAUCAGCACGCCGCGGUGAAUACGUUCCCGGGCCUUGUACACACCGCCCGUCACACCAUGAGAGUUUGUAACACCCGAAGCCGGUGGCGUAACCCUUUUAGGGAGCGAGCCGUCUAAGGUGGGACAAAUGAU
Molecule: ribosomal RNA, 1467 nt
Filed under: Lacticaseibacillus rhamnosus
Lineage: Bacteria; Bacillati; Bacillota; Bacilli; Lactobacillales; Lactobacillaceae
Description: bacterial SSU rRNA
Rfam family: Bacterial small subunit ribosomal RNA
Source: RNAcentral